This 373-nucleotide ribosomal RNA is filed under the name uncultured bacterium. RNAcentral describes it as "bacterial SSU rRNA". It matches the Rfam family "Bacterial small subunit ribosomal RNA", at positions 523 to 898 of the family's 1533-position model. The record is from RNAcentral.
AUACGUAGGGGGCAAGCGUUGUCCGGAAUUAUUGGGCGUAAAGGGUGCGUAGGCGGCCUUUUAAGUCAGAUGUGAAAGGUCACGGCUCAACCGUGGUAAGCAUUUGAAACUGGAAGGCUUGAGUUAAGGAGAGGAAAGUGGAAUUCCUAGUGUAGCGGUGAAAUGCGUAGAUAUUAGGAGGAAUACCAGUGGCGAAGGCGACUUUCUGGCCUUUAACUGACGCUGAGGCACGAAAGCGUGGGGAGCAAACAGGAUUAGAUACCCUGGUAGUCCACGCCGUAAACGAUGAGUGCUAGGUGUUGGAGGUAUACCCUUCAGUGCCGCAGCUAACGCAUUAAGCACUCCGCCUGGGGAGUACGUGCGCAAGCAUGAA